GUGCCAGCCGCCGCGGUAAUACGUAGGUGACAAGCGUUAUCCGGAAUUACUGGGCGUAAAGCGCACGCAGGCGGUGUGGUAAGUCUGAUGUGAAAUCUCCUGGCUUAACUGGGAGGGGUCAUUGGAAACUGCCGUACUUGAGGCGAUGAGAGGGGUGUAGAAUUCCCGGUGUAGUGGUGGAAUGCGUAGAUAUCGGGAGGAAUACCAGUGGCGAAAGCGACACCCUGGCAUUAGCCUGACGCUCAUGUGCGAAGGCGUGGGGAGCGAACGGGAUUAGAUACCCCUGUAGUCC
RNAcentral lists this ribosomal RNA (292 nucleotides) under uncultured bacterium. RNAcentral's name for it is "partial 16S ribosomal RNA". It matches the Rfam family "Bacterial small subunit ribosomal RNA", at positions 505 to 796 of the family's 1533-position model. The record is from RNAcentral.